Molecule: long non-coding RNA, 353 nt
Organism: Sorex araneus (European shrew)
Lineage: Eukaryota; Metazoa; Chordata; Mammalia; Eulipotyphla; Soricidae
Exons: 3
Source: RefSeq, a predicted model, not a curated record
GAUUUGGGGGCGUUCAUAGGUUUCAUGGGUCUUGUGGGUUUUUCUCUUCUUCCUCAGUGAGGAGAGGAAAAUGAAGCUGCCGGGUGCCACACCCCAGGUCGAGUGAACACCCACCCCCAUAGAGACCCACCCCCAUAGCCUGGAGGCUGGAGACUCGGAGGUUCCUCCAUCAUCAACGCGGCUGAUUUCCACAGUCUCCGAGCCUGUCAAUUGGAAAUGGAUCCAAUCCAUCGGCUUGUUUUUCAUUCCGUGGGGGGUUACAUACCUGGCAUUGCUCAGGGCUGACUCCUGACUCUGUGCUCAAGGAUCACUCCUGGUGGGGCUCAGAGGACCCUGUCUCAUGCUGGGGCUUG